RNAcentral lists this ribosomal RNA (198 nucleotides) under uncultured bacterium. RNAcentral describes it as "partial 16S ribosomal RNA". It matches the Rfam family "Bacterial small subunit ribosomal RNA", at positions 1306 to 1500 of the family's 1533-position model. The record is from RNAcentral.
UGCAACUCGACUGCACGAAGCUGGAAUCGCUAGUAAUCGCGGAUCAGCACGCCGCGGUGAAUACGUUCCCGGGCCUUGUACACACCGCCCGUCACACCAUGGAAGUCUGCAAUGCCCGAAGCCGGUGGCCUAACCACUUAUGUGGAAGGAGCCGUCUAAGGCAGGGCAGAUGACUGGGUGAAGUCGUAACAAGGUAAC